Molecule: small RNA, 915 nt
Filed under: Pongo abelii (Sumatran orangutan)
Lineage: Eukaryota; Metazoa; Chordata; Mammalia; Primates; Hominidae
Description: retained intron
Source: RNAcentral
CCCUGCCUCCCAGACCACCCUGCGGGGCGCACCAGCGAUCUGGAGUGCGGGGCUCGGCCUCCCUGCGCUCCUGGCUGACGGUGUGACCUUGGGACCGAGACGUGCAGCUGUCCAAGGCUCUGUCCUAUGCCCUGCGCCAUGGGGCCUUGAAGCUGGGGCUUCCCAUGGGAGCUGGUAAGUGGGGGCCUUGGAGGCUGGGGCUUGAGCCCAGAGAGAAACGUGAGCCUGUCUGCGACUCCGCCCCCACGGCUGCCUCCACUGCUCCCUGAGGAAGGCACAGAGGGCACUUCCUCCCCAUGCACAGAGGAGAGCAAGGCCUAGAGCCCCUGUCAUGUCCACAGCAGACUGAGGAGAGUUCUUGUCUGGGCCAGGCCUGGUGACCGCCCCCUCCAGCCAAGCAGCCAGGUCAGCACUUACCCCGAGGGCGUGCCCUGGAGGGUAUGGCGCAGCUGGUGUUGUGAGUGUGCACUCCGGGCCAGCGCUAUGCUGAGCACUCACCUCCCUGCCCCUCCGUGAGGCAGAUCCUCUUUUUAUGUAAGUUGAAAAAACUGGGGCCCAGAAAGGGGAGACUUUCUAAAGGUCCCACAGAGGAUGCCCGAGCGAUCUCCAAGCCCAGACUUUGUUUCGGUUGCCUAUGGCUCCCUGUUAACCCUGGCCCAGUCCAGAGCAAGGUUGGCUCCUGAGCACCCUGCCUGCCCACAGACGGCUUCGUGCCCCUGGGCGCCCUCCUGCAGUUGCCCCAGUUCCGCGGCUUCUCUGCUGAAGAUGUGCAGCGCGUGGUGGACACCAAUAGGAAGCAGCGGUUCGCCCUGCAGCCCGGGGAUCCCAGCACUGGCCUUCUCAUCCGGGCCAACCAGGGCCAUUCCCUGCAGGUUGGGGUGAGGGGACAAGCGCGAGAGCCAGAUGGGAGGGACC